RNAcentral lists this ribosomal RNA (513 nucleotides) under uncultured bacterium. RNAcentral's name for it is "partial 16S ribosomal RNA". It matches the Rfam family "Bacterial small subunit ribosomal RNA", at positions 28 to 507 of the family's 1533-position model. The record is from RNAcentral.
GACGAACGCUGGCGGCGUGCUUAACACAUGCAAGUCGAACGAAAAGAGGGAAAGAGCUUGCUCUUUCCGGAAUUGAGUGGCAAACGGGUGAGUAACACGUAAACAACCUGCCUUCAGGAUGGGGACAACAGACGGAAACGACUGCUAAUACCGAAUAAGUUCCAAGGGCCGCAUGGCCCAUGGAAGAAAAGGUGGCCUCUACCUUUAAGCUAUCGCCUGAAGAUGGUGUUGCGUCUGCUUAGCUGGUUGGUGGGGUAACGGCCCACCAAGGCGAGGAUCAGUAUCCGGACGGAGAGGAUGGACGGCCGGACUGGGACGGUGACAGGGCCCAGAGUGCUACGGAAGGCAGCAGUGGGGCAUCUGCAGGAAGGGGCGAGAGCCUGACGGAGCAAGGCCGAGUGAGUGAUGACGGCCUUCGGGUUGGAAAAGUCUGUGAUCCGGGACGAAAAGGCAGAGUGCGAAGAACAAGCGGCAUUGACGGUAACGGAUAAGCAAGCCACGGCUAACUACGUG